This 600-nucleotide ribosomal RNA is filed under the name Triticum aestivum (bread wheat). RNAcentral describes it as "partial small subunit ribosomal RNA". The record is from RNAcentral. Lineage: Eukaryota; Viridiplantae; Streptophyta; Magnoliopsida; Poales; Poaceae.
AUGGGUUUCAUGAAUCACCAUAUCCAGAGAUUCGUCGACACAACUUGUUGCCAGUCGAAGAAGGAUUGGCCGGUGCUACCGGCUGGCGUCAAAUUCGAUCCCACGGAUCAGGAACUGAUCGAGCACCUUGAGGCCAAAGUGAGUGUUGACAGCGCGAGAUUUCAGUCUCUCAUCGAUUUGUUCAUACCAACCAUCGACAGCGAGCACGGCAUAUGCUACACCCAACCUGAGAAACUUCCAGGUAUCACACUGAGUGGCCUAAGGAAGCAUUUCUUCCAGCGCAAUUCCAUGGCGUUCAAAAGGGGCACGUGGACGCGUCGCAAGAUACAGUCGGAGUGUGGCACGCACGCGAUGUGGCACAAGACCGGCAAUACAUUACCUGUGAUAGUCAACGGCCGGCAGACGGGCAGCAAAAAAGGUUCUGGUGUUGCACACCAACAAGAACUUCGACCAGCAGAGGACCAACUGGGUGAUGCACCAGUACCACAUCGGGGACCUGGAGCAAGAGAAGGAGCGGGAGCUGGUACUCUGUCGAGCAAGUUUCAACUGGGCCGUAGACUGACCAGGGUUGGUUUUGUUUUUAACAGGCCCAGCCCAUGA